GUUUUACGGGCUCACCAACGAACCUUCACAAUUGGUUUUACGGGCUUACCAACAACCUACGUUGGUUUUACGGGCUCACCAACAACCUACGUUGGUUUUACGGGCUUACCAACAACCUACGUUGGUUUUACGGGCUUACCAACAACCUAACAAUGUUGGUUUUACGGGCUUACCAACAAACCUUAUAACAAGAAUAAAGAACAAGGAACUAAAGCUCCUAAAUGAGCAAAUAAAACAAUUAUCAGCUACAAAGAAGAGUUUAAAAUAUAGUUAUUCCUUUAAUAAGGCUCUUCUCUUCUUUGUCAAGAUUGCUUCACUCUUUAAGGGUUGGUGGAGCUCUUAAUGUCUCUUGGAAUCUGCUCAACCACUUUCUUUUGGCUCUUUGAAUGAAGCUUGCCUUGCUACGGUUUUCUCUUGAAUGCAUUUGAUGUCUUUUCCAAAUCUUGCUUCCUCUGAUGAAUACUUCCUCUUAAAUACUUCUCAACCUCCAAAUA
RNAcentral lists this long non-coding RNA (494 nucleotides) under Phoenix dactylifera (date palm). Its description in RNAcentral is "long non-coding RNA (PDAC_LNC013669)". Lineage: Eukaryota; Viridiplantae; Streptophyta; Magnoliopsida; Arecales; Arecaceae. The record is from RNAcentral.